Molecule: ribosomal RNA, 329 nt
Filed under: uncultured eukaryote
Lineage: Eukaryota
Description: partial 18S ribosomal RNA
Rfam family: Eukaryotic small subunit ribosomal RNA
Source: RNAcentral
CCCUUAGAUGUUCUGGGCCGCACGCGCGCUACACUGACGCGGGCAACGAGUUUUUCCUUCGCCGAAAGGUGUGGGUAAUCUUUUGAAACAUCGUCGUGCUGGGGAUAGAUCAUUGCAAUUUUUGAUCUUGAACGAGGAAUUCCUAGUAAGCGCGAGUCAUCAGCUCGCGUUGAUUACGUCCCUGCCCUUUGUACACACCGCCCGUCGCUACUACCGAUUGAAUGGUUUAGUGAGGACUCCUGAUUGGCGCCGCCGCCCCGGCAACGGAGCAGCGGACUGCCGAAAAGUUGUUCAAACUUGAUCAUUUAGAGGAAGUAAAAGUCGUAACA